AGCUUGAGCAUACUUCCGUACAGUUGGAGUCGCUAUGCCCAC
RNAcentral lists this non-coding RNA (42 nucleotides) under Bacillus methanolicus MGA3. Lineage: Bacteria; Bacillati; Bacillota; Bacilli; Caryophanales; Bacillaceae. The record is from RNAcentral.